UACGUAGGGUGCAAGCGUUAUCCGGAUUUACUGGGUGUAAAGGGCGAGUAGACGGUUGUUUAAGUCAGAUGUGAAAUCUAGGGGCUCAACCCCAAGACUGCAUCUGAAACUAAAUUACUAGAGUGUAGGAGAGGAAAAUGGAAUUCCUAGUGUAGCGGUGAAAUGCGUAGAUAUUAGGAGGAACACCAGUGGCGAAGGCGAUUUUCUGGACUAUAACUGACGUUGAGGAGCGAAAGUGUGGGGAGCAAACAGG
Molecule: ribosomal RNA, 253 nt
Filed under: uncultured bacterium
Lineage: Bacteria
Description: partial 16S ribosomal RNA
Rfam family: Bacterial small subunit ribosomal RNA
Source: RNAcentral